ACGCUCGACACCUACGGGAGGUAGCAGUGGGGAAUAUUGGGCAAUGGGCGCAAGCCUGACCCAGCAACGCCGCGUGAAGGAAGAAGGCUUUCGGGUUGUAAACUUCUUUUCUCAGGGACGAAGGAAGUGACGGUACCUGAGGAACAAGCCACGGCUAACUACGUGCCAGCAGCCGAGGUAAUCUGAGCGGGCUGGCAAGGC
RNAcentral lists this ribosomal RNA (201 nucleotides) under uncultured bacterium. Its description in RNAcentral is "partial 16S ribosomal RNA". It matches the Rfam family "Bacterial small subunit ribosomal RNA", at positions 328 to 539 of the family's 1533-position model. The record is from RNAcentral.